Molecule: long non-coding RNA, 1508 nt
Organism: Neofelis nebulosa (Clouded leopard)
Lineage: Eukaryota; Metazoa; Chordata; Mammalia; Carnivora; Felidae
Exons: 2
Source: RefSeq, a predicted model, not a curated record
GCUGUGAGUCACCGAUGGGGGGCGGGGAGGGCAGGGGAUCUGGGAGUGAGAUGCCGCCACCUGCCUGUUGAUAGGACGCAGCCUUGGGGUCACUGUGUCAGAGCGGGAAUGUGCAAACGGGGACACUCUGCCCCCCCCCCGGCCGGGACGGCAAAGAGCCCACCCCGCCCCCCGGGCCAGCUCUGGUCAACGGCCGGGCCCCCGAGUGGCCUCUGGGAAAGAAGGAAAGGAAGGAAGACAGGGAAAGGAAGAGGGAGGCUGAGGCAACACCCACAUGUCCACCUCCUGGUCCCGUAUGACUGAUGCCCGGGGUGUCUCAAACCUUUCAUCUCGUGGUCUCCCCGUCACUGUUCUCGUACUCACUAUUUCUCUUUAAAAAGACUCACCUAAUGGGAAAACCAGCCACAAAUCCAAGGUAAGCGUAAAAACAAAUACAGUGUAACGAAAUACCACAUCAGGGGUCCAGCAGGUUCUCUGACUGUCAAAGGAUGGGAACCAGGUCUAUGGACACAGAGAAGGAAAAUCACAGGGGUCCACACCUGAUGGGGGCGGAAGCUUCUCGCUACACAAUUCAGCGUCAUUUCACACAGGGUCUGUGAUCCCGAGUCGCCUCUGGGGAUCGCCUCUGAGGCACCGGUCUGUGCUUCAGCAAGGACGCCCUACACCCCACUGACCGCGGGCCGCUAGCCUGGGAAUGAGGCCCUCCCCAGCAAGUCAGGGGCUGGGGGAGCCUUGAGGAAACAGCUCAGGUGAGCCGGCACUGAGAGGGGGUUGAAACCUUCCAUCGGGUCAAAGGAAAGUCGGGUGACCCAGCGAUUCCACUCCCCGGUGUGUACCCCAAAGAGGUGAAAGUUGGUGUUCAAACCAGCGCUGUUCACAACGGCGAAGAGUGGAAACGACAAUGUCCGUCCAUGGACAAAUGGACCAAAAGACAGCAGACCCGCACCGUGGAACACUAUGCAGCCACGAAGAGGAACAAAGUGCUGGCAUUCGCAGGGAUCCACCUAGAAAACAUGGUCAGUGACACAAGCCAGUCACCGGAGGCCGCAUACUAUUGGAUUCUAUGAAGUGUCUGGAGGACAGGUGGGUCCACGGAGACAGGAACUAGACGGUGUUGCCCAGGCUGGGGUAGGGCACGGGCAUGACUGCUGAUGGCUACGGGGCAUGUUUCUCGGGGAGGAGAAUGUUCUGGAACCAGACAGAGGUGGUGGUUGUACACGACUGUGAAUUUACUAAAUGCCACCGAAUCGUACACUUUAAAGUGGUCGGACUUAGGUUGUGCGAAUUUUACCGCAACUAAAAAAAAUAAUCCUUUAGGGGUGUCUGGGUGGCUCAGUCAGUUGAGCAUCUGACUUCGGCUCGGGUCAUGAUCUCGCGGUCUGUGGGUUCGAGCCCUGCGUCGGGCUCUGUGCUGAUGGCUCAGAGCCUGGAGCCUGCUUUGGAUUCUGUGUCUCUCUCUCUCUCUGCCCCUCCCCCAGUUGUGCUCUGUCUCUCUCUCUCUCUCUCUC